UCCAAGAAUUAUUCUUGUUCUAAACCACUACAAAACCCCACUUCUCUUGCCUCCUACCCCAUGUAUUCCUGUCACAUUCCAAUCCAUUCUUUAAACACUGAAAUAAUGGAAAAGUCCCCUGAAACCUGUACUAUGCUUGGCAGCAGCUACACUGUUCUACCUGCAAUAAUUUAGCUUAAAAUCCCUGAAUUGAAAAGGCAUCUGGUCUUGAGAAUGAAGCUGAGGAAAUUACAAGAGAAUUGGUGAAAGUGACAUCCAUAGAGAUGCCAAAAUUAAGAGACCAUGAGGAAAUUUGAAAAAGACCACAUUUGAAUGUCUCCAGCCUAUAUUCUGCAAGUCAAGAAAUGAAUGAAAAAGCUGUGGCUGAAGAUUGCUAUGGAAUAAAGUAUAAACUGACACAACCUUA
Vidua chalybeata is the source of this 406-nucleotide long non-coding RNA. RefSeq lists it as uncharacterized. Lineage: Eukaryota; Metazoa; Chordata; Aves; Passeriformes; Viduidae. The record is from RefSeq and is a predicted model, not a curated record. The transcript has 2 exons.